CCUACGGGAGGCAGCAGUGGGGGAUAUUGCACAAUGGGGGGAACCCUGAUGCAGCGACGCCGCGUGGGUGAAGGAGUGCUUCUGCAUGUAAAGCCCUAUCGGCAGGGAAGCAGCUAGACGGUACCUUACUCCUAAGCCCCGGCUAACUACGUGCCAGCAGCCGCGGUCAUACGUAGGGGGCGAGCGUUAUCCGGAUGCACUGGGGGUAAAGGGAGCGUAGACGGCCAUGCAAGCCAGGGGGGAAAGCCCGGGGCCCAACCCCGGGAGUGCCCUGGGAACUGCAUGGCGGGAGUGCGGGAGGGGCAGGCGGAAUUCCUGGUGUAGCGGUGAAAUGCGUAGAUAUCAGGAGGAACACCGGCGGCGAAGGCGGCCUGCUGGACCGCGACUGACGUUGAGGCUCGAAAGCGUGGGGAGCGAACAGGAUUAGAUACCCCAGUAGUC
RNAcentral lists this ribosomal RNA (441 nucleotides) under uncultured bacterium. Its description in RNAcentral is "partial 16S ribosomal RNA". It matches the Rfam family "Bacterial small subunit ribosomal RNA", at positions 338 to 795 of the family's 1533-position model. The record is from RNAcentral.